CGUCUAACAGCUAUCGUCUACUAUGCAGUCGAGCGGUAGCACAGAGGAGUCUUGCUCCUGGGUGACGAGCGGCGGACUUGCGUGAAUAAUGUCUGGGAAACUGCCUGAUGGAGGGGGAUAACUACUGGAAACGGUAGCUAAUACCGCAUAACGUCGCAAGACCAAAGAGGGGGACCUUCGGGCCUCUUGCCAUCAGAUGUGCCCAGAUGGGAUUAGCUAGUAGGUGGGGUAACGGCUCACCUAGGCGACGAUCCCUAGCUGGUCUGAGAGGAUGACCAGCCACACUGGAACUGAGACACGGUCCAGACUCCUACGGGAGGCAGCAGUGGGGAAUAUUGCACAAUGGGCGCAAGCCUGAUGCAGCCAUGCCGCGUGUAUGAAGAAGGCCUUCGGGUUGUAAAGUACUUUCGGCGGGGAGGAAGGUGUUGAGGUUAAUAACCUCAGCAAUUGACGUUACCCGCAGAAGAAGCACCGGCUAACUCCGUGCCAGCAGCCGCGGUAAUACGGAGGGUGCAAGCGUUAAUCGGAAUUACUGGGCGUAAAGCGCACGCAGGCGGUCUGUCAAGUCGGAUGUGAAAUCCCCGGGCUCAACCUGGGAACUGCAUUCGAAACUGGCAGGCUAGAGUCUUGUAGAGGGGGGUAGAAUUCCAGGUGUAGCGGUGAAAUGCGUAGAGAUCUGGAGGAAUACCGGUGGCGAAGGCGGCCCCCUGGACAAAGACUGACUCUCAAGUGCGAAAGCCUGGUGAUGAAACAGGGAUUAGAUACCCUGGGAGGCCACGCCCCAAAAGAUAUCCACAUUGAAGGUUGCGCCUGAGAGGCGGCUUCCCGAGAUAACACGCUUAUACCGCCCGCCUCGGGAGGACUCCCGCGGGUGUAUUACAGCUAAUUAAUUAUCGGAGGGGGCCCACACACGGGGGGGGAAAUUGUGUGUUUUUUUUCGAUGCGAGGAGAAGUACCUUCUCUUAUCGUCGACGUGAGGAUUAUUUAACAGGAGAGGGGGCUGCCGCCGACGGAAAAUUAAGAAGG
Molecule: ribosomal RNA, 1026 nt
Filed under: Enterobacter sp.
Lineage: Bacteria; Pseudomonadati; Pseudomonadota; Gammaproteobacteria; Enterobacterales; Enterobacteriaceae
Description: bacterial SSU rRNA
Rfam family: Bacterial small subunit ribosomal RNA
Source: RNAcentral